UGAUGGGAGCUUGCUCCCUGAUAUCAGCGGCGGACGGGUGAGUAACACGUGGGCAACCUGCCUAUAAGACUGGGAUAACUUCGGGAAACCGGAGCUAAUACCGGAUAAUCCCUUUCCUCUCAUGAGGAAAGGCUGAAAGAUGGUUUACGCUAUCACUUAUAGAUGGGCCCGCGGCGCAUUAGCUAGUUGGUGAGGUAACGGCUCACCAAGGCAACGAUGCGUAGCCGACCUGAGAGGGUGAUCGGCCACACUGGGACUGAGACACGGCCCAGACUCCUACGGGAGGCAGCAGUAGGGAAUCUUCCGCAAUGGACGAAAGUCUGACGGAGCAACGCCGCGUGAGUGAUGAAGGUUUUCGGA
Molecule: ribosomal RNA, 360 nt
Filed under: uncultured bacterium
Lineage: Bacteria
Description: bacterial SSU rRNA
Rfam family: Bacterial small subunit ribosomal RNA
Source: RNAcentral